This 484-nucleotide ribosomal RNA is filed under the name uncultured bacterium. RNAcentral's name for it is "partial 16S ribosomal RNA". It matches the Rfam family "Bacterial small subunit ribosomal RNA", at positions 29 to 523 of the family's 1533-position model. The record is from RNAcentral.
AGUGAACGCUGGCGGCGUGCUUAACACAUGCAAGUCGAACGAGAACGGGCUAUAGCUUGCUAUAGUUGUCAGCUAAGUGGCGCACGGGUGAGUAAUGUAUAGGUAAUAUGCCUCUUACUAAGGGAUAACAAAUGGAAACGUUUGCUAAUACCUUAUACUCCUUAUUAACAGAAGUUAAUAAGGGAAAGAUUUAUUGGUAAGAGAUUAGCCUGUAUUGUAUCAGUUAGGUGGUGGGGUAAUGGCUUACCAAGACUAUGACACAUAACUGGUUUGAGAGGAGGAUCAGUCACACUGGAACUGGGACACGGUCCAGACUCCAAGGGGAGGCAGCAGUGGGGAAUAUGGCACAAUGGACGAAAGUCUGAUGCAGCAACGCCGCGUGGAGGAGGACACAUUUGGGUGCGUAAACGCCUUUUAUAUGAGAAGAUAAUGACGGUAUUAUAUGAAUAAGCACCGGCUAACUCCGUGCCAGCCGCCGCCGUAA